RNAcentral lists this ribosomal RNA (497 nucleotides) under uncultured bacterium. RNAcentral's name for it is "partial 16S ribosomal RNA". It matches the Rfam family "Bacterial small subunit ribosomal RNA", at positions 28 to 507 of the family's 1533-position model. The record is from RNAcentral.
GAUGAACGCUGGCGGCGUGCCUAAUACAUGCAAGUCGAGCGAACAGAUAAGGAGCUUGCUCCUUUGACGUUAGCGGCGAACGGGUGAGUAACACGUGGAUAACCUACCUAUAAGACUGGGAUAACUUCGGGAAACCGGAGCUAAUACCGGAUAACAUAUUGAACCGCAUGGUUCAAUAGUGAAAGGCGGCUUUGCUGUCACUUAUAGAUGGAUCCGCGCCGUAUUAGCUAGUUGGUAAGGUAACGGCUUACCAAGGCAACGAUACGUAGCCGACCUGAGAGGGUGAUCGGCCACACUGGAGCUGAGACACGGACCAGACUACUACGGGAGGCAGCAGUAGGGAAUGUUCCGCAAUGGGCGAAAGCCUGACGGAGCAACGCCGCGUGAGUGAUGAAGGUCUUCGGAUCGUAAAACUCUGUUAUCAGGGAAGAACAAAUGUGUAAGUAACUGUGCACAUCUUGACGGUACCUGAUCAGAAAGCCACGGCUAACUACGUG